Molecule: non-coding RNA, 84 nt
Filed under: unclassified sequences
Source: RNAcentral
AAUAAGCUGCCGCCGGGUAGCUGCAAAACGCCGGAAUUCAUGUCGUUAGGCCUUAGAAGACAUGGAUUCCGGCGUGAUUCUUAU